This 1030-nucleotide long non-coding RNA is filed under the name Zonotrichia albicollis (white-throated sparrow). RNAcentral's name for it is "lncRNA (ENSZALG00000007268.1)". Lineage: Eukaryota; Metazoa; Chordata; Aves; Passeriformes; Passerellidae. The record is from RNAcentral.
ACUGGGAACCCAAACUGGGAUUGGUUCCUCAAACUGGGAACCCAAACUGGGAAUGGUUCCCCCAAACUGGGACCCCAAACUGGGAAUGGACUGGUCCAAACUGGGACCCCAAACUGGGAAUGGUUCCCCCAAACUGGGAACCCAAACUGGGAAUGGUCUGGUCCAAACUGGGACCCCAAACUGGGAAUGGUUCCCCCAAACUGGGACCCCAAACUGGGAAUGGACUGGUCCAAACUGGGACCCCAAACUGGGAAUGGUUCCUCAAACUGGGAACCCAAACUGGGAAUGGCUCCUCAAACUGGGAACCCAAACUGGGAAUGGUUCCUCAAACUGGGAUUGGUUCCUCAAACUGGUUCCCCAAACUGGGACCACUCCCCCCCAAACUGGGAUUGGUUCCUCAAACUGGGACCAGUCCCCCUCAAACUGGGACCCCAAACUGGGAACCCAAACUGGGAUUGGCUUCCCCAAACUGGGAAUGGUCUGGUCCAAACUGGGACCCCAAACUGGGAAUGGUCCCUCAAACUGGGACCCCAACCUGGGACCCCAAACUGGGAUUGGUUUCCCCAAACUGGGAAUGGUCUGGUCCAAACUGGUUCCCCAAACUGGGAUUGGUUCCCCCAAACUGGGACCUCAAACUGGUAAUGGUUCCUCAAACUGGGAUUGGUUCCUCAAACUGGGACCCCAAACUGGGACCCCAAACUGGGAAUGGUCUGGUCCAUACUGGGACCCCAAACUGGGAUUGGCUCCCCCAAACUGGGAUUGGUUCCUCAAACUGGGAACCCAAACUGGGAAUGGUCUGGUCCAAACUGGGAUUGGUUCCCCCAAACUGGGAACCCAAACUGGGAAUGGUCUGGUCCAAACUGGGACCCCAAACUGGGAAUGGUCCCUCAAACUGGGACCUCAAACUGGGAAUGGUCUGGUCCAAACUGGGAACCCAAACUGGGAACCCAAACUGGGAUUGGCUCCCCCAAACCGGGACCAGCUCCCCCCAAACUGGGAANNNNNNNNNNNNNNNNNNNNNNNNNNNNNN